RNA transcript from Cervus elaphus (red deer), 8115 nucleotides. It is a transcript of the gene named QKI, KH domain containing RNA binding, with no coding region annotated. The transcript is spliced from 8 exons. NCBI's taxonomy places the organism in Eukaryota, Metazoa, Chordata, Mammalia, Artiodactyla, Cervidae. The record is from RefSeq and is a predicted model, not a curated record.
GAAAGUGCCUGCGGGGGCGGGGAGAGCGCGGCGAGCGCGCGGUCCGGCCGCCCGGGCGCCCGGCGCGGGAGCGGAGCGGAGCGGGACGCCGAGUCCCGAGCGGCCGGCGGCCGGGGCUCCCCGCCCCUCCCUCCCUCUCCGGCGGCGGCGGCGGCGGCGGCGGCGGCGGGCGGAGUGAGCUGCGGAGCCUGGAAUAUGGUGGGGGAAAUGGAAACGAAGGAGAAGCCGAAGCCCACCCCAGAUUACCUGAUGCAGCUGAUGAACGACAAGAAGCUCAUGAGCAGCCUGCCCAACUUCUGCGGGAUCUUCAACCACCUCGAGCGGCUGCUGGACGAAGAAAUUAGCAGAGUACGGAAAGACAUGUACAAUGACACAUUAAAUGGCAGUACAGAGAAAAGGAGUGCAGAGUUGCCUGACGCUGUGGGACCUAUUGUUCAGUUACAAGAGAAACUUUAUGUGCCUGUAAAAGAAUACCCAGAUUUUAAUUUUGUUGGGAGAAUCCUUGGACCUAGAGGACUUACUGCUAAACAGCUUGAAGCAGAAACAGGAUGUAAGAUCAUGGUCCGAGGCAAAGGCUCAAUGAGGGAUAAGAAGAAGGAGGAGCAAAAUCGAGGCAAGCCUAAUUGGGAGCAUCUCAAUGAAGAUUUACAUGUACUGAUUACUGUGGAAGAUGCUCAAAACAGAGCAGAGAUCAAACUGAAGAGAGCCGUUGAGGAAGUGAAGAAGUUACUGGUACCUGCAGCAGAGGGAGAAGACAGUCUGAAGAAGAUGCAGCUGAUGGAGCUUGCGAUUCUCAACGGCACCUACAGAGAUGCCAACAUUAAAUCACCAGCCCUUGCCUUUUCUCUUGCAGCGACAGCCCAGGCUGCUCCAAGGAUUAUCACUGGGCCCGCGCCCGUGCUCCCACCAGCCGCCCUGCGCACUCCGACGCCGGCUGGCCCUACCAUAAUGCCUUUGAUCAGACAGAUACAGACCGCUGUCAUGCCAAACGGAACUCCUCACCCUACUGCUGCAAUAGUUCCUCCAGGGCCCGAGGCUGGGUUAAUCUACACACCCUACGAAUACCCCUACACGUUGGCACCAGCUACAUCAAUCCUUGAGUAUCCUAUUGAACCUAGUGGUGUAUUAGGUAUGGCUUUCCCAACGAAAGGCUAAGAAUUCAAGAACGGUCUUAACUGAACCCUCAUCAGAUCUGAAUUUAACAAAUGCUUAGUCUCAGCAGCCUCCAGGGGGGUGGGAGGGAAGCUUAGCCUAGCAGUCAGUGACUUACUUGCACUUUUUGCACACUGAUAGAAAGUAAAAGUUUGUUAUUAAUUGGUUUAGUCUGUAACCUUACAAAGUAACGGUGAUUUAUACAGGAGUGUAUAGUAGUAUACUGACUGCUAAGUGUACUAUACUGUUUGCUUUACUAAUCACCUAAUUCAUUGCAGUUCAUACUUAUUGACUCGAAGUUUAGAACCACAAUCUGUAGGCUUUAAGAAUUGCAUUUAAACCUUCUUAAGUGAUAGACUCUGGAAGUGUGGUCUUAAGGUUAGCAAAUAAUUGUCAGUAUUAAACAUGGCAUUAUUUAAGUAGUCCUGCUGCAAGAAAGGCACUUCAGUGAAUAUGUGACUAGUAAAGCCUAACUAUGUUUGGAUCUAAUAGAGUUCAUGAAAUCUGUAACUUGGGAUUAUAAAUGAAUGGAUAAAAUAGGUUAAGGCCAAGAUGAUUGAAAUGAAUGCAAUAUUAAUAGAUGCAUAUAUACGCAACAUAUAAUGGUUAAUUUUAAGACUACUGUGCCUUAACGUGUUUCCUAAAACAAAACUUUUGUAGUAAAUGAACAUUUGAAAUCCAUUGUGAUAAACCUGCUGUUAAUGUUUGUUUUCUUUUCCCUUGUGAAUGUUUUCUAACUUUGUCUUGGUAAUUGCAAUUUAACUAGGUGCGGUGGCUACUAAAGUUCGAAGGCACGAUAUGCGUGUCCAUCCUUACCAAAGGAUUGUGACCGCAGACCGAGCCGCCACCGGCAACUAACCUAUGACCUUCUGACCUCUGAACUCUUCACCCAAUGAUGACCUGACCAUGCCUGCCUGCUGAUCAGUUAACUGGUAAUCGCCUUUGCUUGCCUGUCGUCAGUGCAGCGAGCUGAGGCACUUGUCCGUUCGUCUUACCAUCUAACCAAACAAAAGACAAAGAAAUCGUUGUCCUCCAACUCAGCUUUCGUUUGUUUUGUUUUGUUAUUUCUUUUUCUGUUUGGGUGAAAGUGGUUCUAGACCCUGCACUGAAGUGUGUAAAGCAAUAAGGCCCAAUCCAUCCCCCAGCACUGACCACCUUUCAGUGUCCGCCCUAAGCGAACGGUGAGAAGGCCUCACUGCAGAAGGGCCAGCGACAGAGGCAGUUACUGUGAGAGACUUCUAGGAACCUCUCUGCGUAGCGAGUCAGAGCUCUGAAUGUACUGUGCUGAUGCAUCAUGCAUGAACCUUUGGUCAGGGGUGUCAUUGGUGAAGCGAUUUCAAAAAGUAUUCAAAAUUUGACCUGCUCUUUAGUCACUACAGUGCCCUCAAAGGGCAGAAGUCGCAGCCUUUUUUAUAUUGCCUGCCAAAAUUUGAAGUAUUAGAAGUGUGCCAUGAGAGAAAAACUUAACAAGGAAUUUUGGAAAGUAAUGCAAAGAACAAAACUGCAACACUAUUUUUUAAAAGAUAAAUAUCUGAGUUAAAAUUACUGAACCUUUAUUUUACACCUCCUUUAAAAAAUAUAUGAGAACAAGGUACAUGCAUUAUGUGUCACAUUACUGGGCAAACUGUUCAAAUAUUUUUUUUAAACCUCCCUGUAUAGAAAAAAAUCAUUAAGGAUGUAAAAGCCAUGCUUGCCUAUUUGCUGUAUACAUGUAAUGAAAUUGUAGAUAAAGUGUAGUGCAUUGAAACAAAUGAACAAAAAAAGUAGAUACUUUUACUAUACAAGGGUGCUGGUGCAGAAAAAAUAUAUAUAUUUUUGGAAAUGUAGCAUUUUAUACUUUCAAGUGUUAUAAAAAAAAGAAAAAGAACAAAGAAACCCUUUAUUUCAUUAAAUGAUUUUUUCUGGUGGUUGUCAAGAAACAAAAGACCAAAAGAGCCUUUUUGUCUUUCUUUUUUAUUUUUUAAGUAUUGGAAUAAGUCUAAAGAAAAGAAAGUGCCUUAUUUUCCUUCAUGGUCAUUUAGUCAAGUGUCUUGUAAGAUCAGCUCCUCCCUCAGAAUACAAGUCAAUGCCUGUCACUCAGUCGCCCAGUAUGUGAAAGAAGAUGUGAGGGGAGACACGUGAGUUGAUGGUUUGAAUUAAAUGAUUUUUGCCACAUUACCUUGAUAUCAAUUUGCCAAAUCUGAUACUGUGAAAAAAUUUGAUAACUUUUCUAAUUCCUAACAAGUAAGUUUGAAAACAUCCUCUUAAAAUCACAAUUGAGUGCUUUUGGUAAUUGGUAUACGUAAUGUUAGCCCAAAGGGUUCUGAAAUAAACAUUACGUGUGAUUAGAACACCAUUUCAUAGACAAAAUUAGAACUCUUAUUUGGUGGGCGUGUUGUUGGAUUUUUUUCUUAUUAAUCGGUGGUAAUAGUAUAAACAGCAGUCUUUUUCACAAGAGUGAAUCUUUGUGAUUUUCAUUCUGGAUAACAGUGUUUGUAAAUGACCCAAAUUUAAAUCAGACUCAUUUCUACAGAACCAGAUCACUUGUGUAGUCCAUCUCUGCUGGUUUUAGUGGCCUAAGCCGCGAACACACACACGAACACACACACACACACACACACACAUGAACACACACACACACACACACACACAUGAACACACACACACACACACACACACACACAUGAACACACACACACACACACGAACACACACACACACACACAGACACACACACACACACACACACACACACACACACACACACACCACGCCCCCAGCCCCCACUUAACUUUAAAGGGAUGAGAGAAACUAGCAUCAUUGUGCAUAGACUACUCAACUACAUGUGAGCAUGAACGUGCAGUGUCUCCGGACGUUCAGUCCGCUCUGCAGCUGCAGCGACCUGUGCACAAAGCUCUGCAGCAGAACUCGAGCUUGCAGGUCUCACUGACCUGUGAGCCAGCACUGAAUGCCCAGUACCAGAUGUGGCAAAUGGCGAGUGGCUGUAGGUCCCCAGGUCAUCAACUCCUGCCCUCUGCACACCGUCACGGCUUCACAGUCAAAGGUCAGCAGUAAGCUCAGUAAGCACCUUCGUGGUGACCUCCGUCAUCUUGUCCCCUUGGAAACCGUUUUUAGUUAUUCACUAUGCAACAGACAUUAGUUGUUUGUGCUCAGCUAGCUUUGGUGAGCGUGACACUGCGUGUCUCUCUGUCACACGCAGAGCUGUUUUGCUUGAUUUACUGUAUGUGCUGUGCCGUUUUGAUUUUUAUUUUGUUUGGUUGGUUGAAUAAAUUUGCGACACUCAAACACUUGAGGUGAUAGUUUAAAAACGAUACCAGUAUUUGAUCCAGUUUCAUCUCAACUGUGUUAUACCUGGACAUUUUAGAUGUUUAUCAAAGGUCUUUUAUGGGGAAGAAAGUAAAUGUAUGAAAUAAAUGCGUGACAUUGAUGAGUAAUGUUGGCUCUGAACAAACGUUUGAAAACUUAGUUGAUAAAAUUUUGGAUCAACUGAAAAAAAGCAUGACUUUUGAAAUCUCUGAAUGCCUUGGUUCUCAGUAUUAUCAUUCUUUAUUGAAUUUCUUUCUUAUUAAAAUAUGUAGUUUUUAAGACUUUUUUUCUGACAGUAUUAUGUAAUUUUUUAGCGCGGGUAGAUGGGAGUGUCGCUUGUAUGUUACCGUACGGCUGACAUGUAUUUUUGUCUAUUCUUUAUUAUCUCAGUAGUUUCAUGCUAUGUAUGUACCAUAACCAACCUAUUGCCUAUGAGAAACAUGUAAGAUAAUGUAUUUACAGCCAUUGUUACAAGUUUAUAAUGUAUUUUUCUAUCUUGUUUUAUAUGUAUGUUAUAUAACAUUCAAAAAGAAUUUUUUUCUUGAUUGAGAAAAGGAUACAAAAUGCAGAAUCCACAAUUUUGAUAACUGAAAAUUGCCAAUUGUUUUCCAGUACUUUAUUACAUUGGGUGUCUUGUCUUUCUUGGGCUUUUAGUUAGCUAAUGAAUGAAUACAUUAGACACUUUUGGGUUUUAGUUGGGAUUUUACAUAGCUUGCAUUUUAAUUCUUUGGUUCUUUGCUGUUUCUAUUAACCCAUAGCAUUAUUUUAAUAAAUGUUAUAAUAUCAACCUACUAACUCUGGACUAUGUCUGUUUAUUAACCUUUACAUGUUUAAUUAAAAUAAACAAAUAAAGACAAAAGAAUGUAAAGUCUUGAAUUACUGGACUAACCCUGAAGAAAGUGACCACAGAUAACAUAGCGUGACUUGUUUUUAUGUUGUCUGUCAGCUGACAGUUCCACGCACUACUGUUAAAAUGGCUUUGGUUAUUCUGGCCUUUUACCUUGGGGGGUAGGUGCCAGUAGAGACGGGAACAAAGUAGUGUUGGUUUGAAGCGUUCUAGUCUUGCCACCUGCCUUUCAACUUCUGCAUUACUAAUUCCACACUUUCUUAUUUUUCCUUCUCCAAAAUAAUCACUGUCUGCUCACAGCAUAAAGAGUAAAGAGAUUUAUCGUAAUGAUAUACCCAAGAAACCAGUUUGAUUCUUUGUUGAACCAUUUUUUAAAUUUCUAUAAGUAGAUAAUCUAAUGGUCACAUUAUAAAGCAAAGCAUCUGAUGACGUUUUACCUUUCUUCGCAUUGGUGUUUUAAUUGGACAUUUUUCCAGUGUAAAGUUAUGAACUGUUUUGGCUAGCUGCUCCUGUUACGGAAAGCCAAAGGUAGAGUGGCUCCGUGUCUCAGGCCAGCCCAGCGUCGGCCGUUGAUGACGACCACGGACGCAGGUCCCUCAGCACGAGGUCAGGCGGCAUCGCUGAGCUUGCUCCCUCACCCUCUUCCACAGUACAGUCAGAGUGCAUCGAUGCAAGAAGUCAGGGGGAGGGACCGUGCAUUCGGAAAGGAAUACAUGUAUCAUUGUUUGCAUGGGAGUUAAUUUAAGGAGAUUUAUUAACUUGCCUUCCUGCUUUUCUUAGCUGUGGCCUAGGUAAACUGACUGCUACUUACCGAUUCUUUUAACUCUUGAGGUGCAUUUAUGUUUCACAGAUGGUGGUAUUUCCUUUUCUGUGAAAUGGUCCUCCAGGAUGAUGAAAGUUCUCAGGACGAAUUUUUGCAUUUGCAAAUAAUGCCUUAUUUUUGUAAAUUGCUUUUUAUUUAUUUUAAAGUUCUAAAAUUUGGGGCUGAAGUGAGUCACACGUUACAGAAGACAUAAACACACCAAUAUGGUAUUAACCAGACUGUCAAAACGCAGUCCCAUAGUGUGUAUACAUACAUGGGGUACAUAGAGGAGCGAGGGCGUCAGGUUUAAUCAUAACUGAGGUGGUUCUCUCCAUCAAACAAAUACACUGCUUCUCUGAUGGGAUGGGGGUAAUCUAUUAUUGUUAGGUAGACAGCUUUAAUAUGCUACUAUCCAUAAAAUUUCACAUUGCCAUACAGUUAAUAUAUGUUAUUUUGUAAAAAUUUGAAGAUAACUUUCAAGCUGCUAGUAUACAAGUCAUCAUGGUACCAUGUCACUGAAGUUGAUUAAGAAUUUCUAUGUAUUUUAUUCUACAUUUUCUGAAGCCUGUGAAUGCAGUCUCAUCUCAUUGUCAGUUAAGAGAACUUUUAUGUAUAAUUACGUUGUAUUGCCACCUUUUAUGUUGGAAAAGUCCCGUUUUAAAAGGCAAAAAUGACAAAACCCAUUUUUAUACAGGAUACAAUAGUAUUAAAUUUGAAAUCACCAAAUUGUUAGAAUGAUAAAAGGCCAGGGUCAGUUUAUUGUUCUAUAUUACUAGUAUUUGACAAAGCAAUUGGAAGUUAAGCUUUCAGUCGAGAAGUUGGUAAAGUUAUAUACUUGCAGUCAAGCAUUUUCCUCUGGGAAAAUAGAGCAUGAAAGUCGAUACUCACCAACACACUAGUGCAGUCUGUGCGGGAGAGCCCACCUCGGGGGCGGUCAGAGCGCCCUGUCCAUAAAGCCAAGAUGUGCGAAUGUUCACACGAGAUAGGAGGUGGUUAAGGUUUCUCAAUAAAUACUGAAUAAAUACGAAGGGCUGUAAGUUUUUUAAGUACACCAAAAGCAGAUGGUAGGUGUAAUUUAAAUUACAUUGAAUUGGUCAUUACCAAAUCAAGACUCUUCUUUACCAGCUACCUUUUAUAAAUGACAGUCUAUAAAGUUUCUCCAGUUUGAGGGGGAGGGGUUUGUGUGUUUGAAAUAAGAUGUCUGUCAUGUCUUGGUAACAAUUAGCAAUUGUAGGGUUACCAGCAAGUGAUUUUUAGUAGAAUGAAAUGUAUUGCUAGAUUAUAAUCCAUUAUUUAAUAGCAAAAGUUAUCCAGAGAACUUUUUAUAGACUCAUAAACUUUCUAAGUAAACGUAAUUUUUAAACAUCCUCAAAAGUUUCUUACUAUUUAAAAUGGAAAAAUAAUUCAUCUUAUAGAUAAUUUUACUUUUAGAGAGAUUCAUAUGGUACACGCAUGUAAUUUUAUCUGUGGUUUCUUUUAACAUAUUACCUAAGCUGAAAUGCCUUUGCUAUGAAGACACAUAACAAAAUUAUAUACCUUCCUGGUACUCAAUGCUGAAUCAAACUGGUUCCCCUGAGUGUAGUGCUCUCCUUUCUGUGUUUCUGCUGCACUAAUUGCAGGGGGUUGGGAGAGAAGGAGAAGAAUUAAUUCAUAGGAGAAGUGGUCGGUAGGUGCAGCAAAUAGCACAACCUGGACUUCUCACUGCUUACAAUUUUGCUGUCCCUUCAUGGCAAAAGACACCGCAUUGCAGAUAAAGCACAGCUCCCAGAAAAAAAAAAAAUAUAUAUAUAUAUAUAUAUUAUAUCUUUUUGAAAAUGCUAUUAUUGAGAAAUUUUGAUUACCAAAUACAUCAUUUAUGGCUUAUAUUGUAGUGGUGUGUAUGAAACAGUUAGAACUCGUGGAAAUUGUCUAUACAGAGAGAAGUUGAAAUAGGCCUUUCCAAAUCGUAUGUGAAUGGAGAACCACAUAUGACUGUACAUGACGUGCAAUAAACCAACUGGAAAAAGUG